GAUGAACGCUGGCUACAGGCUUAACACAUGCAAGUCGAGGGGAAACGGCAUUGGGUGUUUGCACCGAAUGGACGUCGACCGGCGCACGGGUGAGUAACGCGUAUCCAACCUUCCCGUUACUGCGGGAUAACCUGCCGAAAGGCAGACUAAUACCGCAUGUUCUUCGAUGACGGCAUCAGAUUCGAAGCAAAGACUCGUCGGUAACGGAGGGGGAUGCGUCUGAUUAGCUAGUUGGCGGGGCGACGGCCCACCAAGGCGACGAUCAGUAGGGGUUCUGAGAGGAAGGUCCCCCACAUUGGAACUGAGACACGGUCCAAACUCCUACGGGAGGCAGCAGUGAGGAAUAUUGGUCAAUGGGCGGAAGCCUGAACCAGCCAAGUAGCGUGCAGGAGGACGGCCCUAUGGGUUGUAAACUGCUUUUAUGCGGGGAUAGAGUGAGGGACGUGUCCCUUUUGCAGGUACC
RNAcentral lists this ribosomal RNA (463 nucleotides) under Prevotella denticola. RNAcentral describes it as "bacterial SSU rRNA". It matches the Rfam family "Bacterial small subunit ribosomal RNA", at positions 28 to 479 of the family's 1533-position model. Lineage: Bacteria; Pseudomonadati; Bacteroidota; Bacteroidia; Bacteroidales; Prevotellaceae. The record is from RNAcentral.